This is a long non-coding RNA of Felis catus (domestic cat), 394 nucleotides long. RefSeq lists it as uncharacterized. The transcript is spliced from 2 exons. Lineage: Eukaryota; Metazoa; Chordata; Mammalia; Carnivora; Felidae. The record is from RefSeq and is a predicted model, not a curated record.
AUCACAGAAUCAAAUAAUUGUCUUUCAGAGACAAUAGACUAGUCAAAUACUAGUCAAAAAUAAUUUGCAGUCAGAGAGGACAGGAGGAGUGCUAUGUAGCCUUUCAACAAUCUGGAAUGGAGUCACAGACCUCCCAACACAAGAGAGCUGCAGAGAAAACAGAAGAAUUGAGCCUAGCAGCAUCGAGUACAUAGUGUAAGUGAAGAACCUCUCACAUGAAAGAAGUCCAAAUACUGUUACCUGUCCGAAGAAAAAUUUGGAGGACAGAAACAGAGGCCCAACUAGUUUAUCGACUAAAAUAUAAGAGACCACAUUUCUGGAUAACAGAAGAGAGGAUAAAAAAAAAAAACACUAUGGUCAUCAAUCUAGAACGGGAUGCACUUGGCAUCUCUCC